GAAGGGGGCUAGCGUUGCUCGGAAUCACUGGGCGUAAAGGGCGCGUAGGCGGCCAUUCAAGUCAGAGGUGAAAGCCCAAGGCUCAACCUUGGAACUGCCUUUGAUACUGUUUGGCUUGAGACCGGUAGAGGUAAGUGGAACUGCGAGUGUAGAGGUGAAAUUCGUAGAUAUUCGCAAGAACACCAGUGGCGAAGGCGGCUUACUGGACCGGUUCUGACGCUGAGGCGCGAAAGCGUGGGGAGCAAACAGG
RNAcentral lists this ribosomal RNA (250 nucleotides) under uncultured bacterium. RNAcentral describes it as "partial 16S ribosomal RNA". It matches the Rfam family "Bacterial small subunit ribosomal RNA", at positions 527 to 776 of the family's 1533-position model. The record is from RNAcentral.